UCCGCAGGUGGCUUUGUAAGUUAGAUGUGAAAUCUCAGGGCUCAACCCUGAAACUGCAUCUAAAACUGCAUAGCUUGAGUACAGGAGAGGUUGGCGGAAUUCCCGGUGUAGCGGUGAAAUGCGUAGAUAUCGGAGGAACACCAGUGGCGAAGGCGGCCAACUGGCCUGUUACUGACACUCCGGGACGAAAGCGUGGGUAGCGAACG
RNAcentral lists this ribosomal RNA (206 nucleotides) under uncultured bacterium. RNAcentral describes it as "partial 16S ribosomal RNA". It matches the Rfam family "Bacterial small subunit ribosomal RNA", at positions 568 to 774 of the family's 1533-position model. The record is from RNAcentral.